This 477-nucleotide ribosomal RNA is filed under the name uncultured anaerobic ammonium-oxidizing bacterium. RNAcentral's name for it is "bacterial SSU rRNA". It matches the Rfam family "Bacterial small subunit ribosomal RNA", at positions 365 to 832 of the family's 1533-position model. The record is from RNAcentral.
UUCGCAAUGCCCGAAAGGGUGACGAAGCGACGCCGCGUGUGGGAAGAAGGCCUUCGGGUUGUAAACCGCUGUCGGGAGUUAGGAAGUGCAAGGAUGUUAAUAGCGUCUUUGCUUGACUAAGGCUCCGGAGGAAGCCACGGCUAACUCUGUGCCAGCAGCCGCGGUAAUACAGAGGCGGCAAGCGUUGUUCGGAAUUAUUGGGCGUAAAGAGCACGUAGGUGGUUUUGUAAGUCAGAUGUGAAAGCCUUCCGUUCAAAGGAAGAACGGCAUCUGAAACUGCAGAUCUUGAGUGUAGGAGGGGAGAGUGGAACUUCUGGUGGAGCGGUGAAAUGCGUAGAUAUCAGAAGGAACGUCGGCGGCGAAAGCGACUCUCUGGCCUAUUACUGACACUGAGUGUGCGAAAGUUAGGGGAGCAAACGGGAUUAGAUACCCCGGUAGUCCUAACUGUAAACGAUGGGCACUAAGUAGAGGGGUUUU